This 301-nucleotide ribosomal RNA is filed under the name uncultured bacterium. RNAcentral's name for it is "partial 16S ribosomal RNA". It matches the Rfam family "Bacterial small subunit ribosomal RNA", at positions 509 to 807 of the family's 1533-position model. The record is from RNAcentral.
CAGUAGCCGCGGGAAUACGUAGGGCGCAAGCGUUGUCCGGAAUUAUUGGGCGUAAAGAGCGUGUAGGCGGCUCGACAAGUCCGCUGUGAAAGUCCAGGGCUCAACCCUGGAAUGCCGGUGGAUACUGUCGAGCUAGAGUCCGGAAGGGGCGAGUGGAACUCCUGGUGUAGCGGUGAAAUGCGCAGAUAUCAGGAAGAACACCAAUGGCGAAGGCAGCUCGCUGGGACGUGACUGACGCUGAGACGCGAAAGCGUGGGGAGCGAACAGGAUUAGAUACCCGUGUAGUCCCUGUCUCUUAUAC